Molecule: ribosomal RNA, 462 nt
Filed under: Ascogaster sp. RK91
Lineage: Eukaryota; Metazoa; Arthropoda; Insecta; Hymenoptera; Braconidae
Description: partial 28S ribosomal RNA
Source: RNAcentral
GUAAUCCUUGUGGUUAAUUUUAUUGUACAUUCUUGUAUUAUUUUUGCUAAAUACGUCGGCGUGCACUUCUCCUCUAGUAGAACGUCGUGACCCGUUAGAUGUUGAUUUAUGGCCUAAUUGGAAUUCUUUGAUUAUUGCUUGCAAUUAUUGGAAACCCUUUAUGACCCAUCACCUGUGUGACGGUAUUCUCAUGGGAAUAAGCCGCUUUUUUAUCGUGUAAUCCGUUGUAAGUGCGGGUAUUUAUCGCGAGGAUGGGUAUAUUGCGCCCGCUGAUAAAAACCCACUGUGGGGUAACGGUGUGUUUUAUCUGUGUUUAUUUACCGGUCACCAACACGCCUGCUUUGGGGACUUUUUCGACCCCCCUUGUGAAACGGACAAGAGAGACUCAAAUGUACGCACGACAUUGUGAUAUUUUUAUAACAAACAUCGAGAGGGAAUGAAAAAAAAGAUAAUCUCUUAAUA